Long non-coding RNA from Halichondria panicea, 1322 nucleotides. RefSeq lists it as uncharacterized. The transcript is spliced from 8 exons. NCBI's taxonomy places the organism in Eukaryota, Metazoa, Porifera, Demospongiae, Suberitida, Halichondriidae. The record is from RefSeq and is a predicted model, not a curated record.
AGCUGCCACAAACAGUCAACUAGCUAGCCGGCCUAGGCUAACCUGAACACUCCUUUGGCAGUUGAUACAUCAAAACAACAGGUACAAUCAUUGAAUCAAAUUACAAUAGCUACAAAAACUGAUAAAUAGCUAGCUGGUGUCAUUAAGCCUUUUAAAGUUAACUUCAAAAGGGGGGGUCAAGGGACCCCAUGGACCCCCUUCUGGAUCCGCCACUGACACUCUGUAUCUCCUGGUAGAGCCGCUCCUGGACCUCAGGGUUCUUAGCCAACUCAAACAGGAGCUUUGCAGAUUUAAUGAUCAUUACAAUGUGAAGUCAUACUAGAAGUCUACGAUACAGUGUGUAGCGCGGCUGCAAGUAGAGUUGAUGUGGCUGAAGAAGAGGUCAGAGAUGUUGUACUGAGCUUCCCAGAGUGGCAGGCAAACACUUUCGCGCGCUGUGGACUGCACUGGAAAGAGAGUUGUUCUGGCAGUGCAUGGCGUAAUGUUAGUCAUCGUUGCAGUCAGAAGUGGUUAGCUGUGGUCAAUUUAGAUCAACCUGAGGCGUACAGUGAACCCAAGGCUGUCAGGAAACUAGGGAGACAGAACAAGUACGAGAUCAAGGCAGUGUUGUGGAACCCUCACCUGGUGAAGGAGGACUUACUGGCCUCCACCUGCCAGCAGAAGCUGGAGGUCUGGAAUGUGAAUGCUGAGAGACAUCCUCUGGUACACUCCCUCAAGGCACACACUCGACCAGUCAGGAUAUAAAGAGGUUCUCGUUGCCCAGAGUGAUAUCUCUAGACAUUGGUGUCCCUGCCAACAAGAAGCCUUCACCGAGGGAACAGCUGUCUAAUCAGGUUGCCAACAUCUUUAAAAUGCAACGUCAAGCUCAACAGCUCAAAUAAGAUGUGACUAGACUGAUAGCCAGUAACUACCCUGGUGGCGUCAUCUUUACACAGCUGGCUUCUUUCACCUCACAAUUUGCAAAGGCCCUGAAUGAAUCUACCCAGCCGUCUGUCCUGGCCACUCGACUGAAGCUCCCACUACGGUCUACCCCCGGGCAGCGGAAGUCGUGUGGGGGGUCUCAUCGUGUUGUGGUUAGUCCAGCUCAGUUCUCUCUGUUGCACUCCAGCCUGAUCAGCUGACUAUGAACAGAUGUCUAGUAUAAAUUGAACAUAGUAAUAUAAAUUAUGUAAACAAAACCUUCCUAAUUUGUGACCUGCAUAGAAUUCUUAUAUCAUUGUAAAGUAUUGUAUGUACAAUUUUAUCGUCACAUCACCAUUUUUUGUUGAAGCUUAAUAUUAAUUGUUGAACUGUACCGUGUCAUAUAUAUAGGGGGGAGACUG